Molecule: long non-coding RNA, 1310 nt
Filed under: Gossypium barbadense (sea-island cotton)
Lineage: Eukaryota; Viridiplantae; Streptophyta; Magnoliopsida; Malvales; Malvaceae
Description: long non-coding RNA (GBAR_LNC013582)
Source: RNAcentral
ACAUUGUCAUUUCCGCCCUUACACCCUAUUCCACUUAAACCCCAUCUUUACACGAUCAUUCUAAACCCUGAACUAUCGACCUUAUCUUCCAAAAUAAAAUCAAACCACUGACCAUCCCUUAAGAACCAUACAACACCACCUUAUAUUAUCUCCAAAAUCGUAACAAUGACCAUCUAACAUCAUCAAAACCAUCGCUGAUCACCCCAUUUUCAAACUCCAGCGGUUUUGCACAAGUUUCAGGUUAAUUCUGCUAAACUCACCAGCCAGUUUGUGCAAUUGUCUGAGAUUUUAUUUUUGAGCCAUGGACUCAAACUCCGGAAGCUGGGCAAGGCAAUCCUACCACUCUAGAAAGAGGAACUAGGUGCAAAGACGAUCAUGAAGAAAGUCAGAUAAUGAGGAUUCUACCAAAUAAAUAAGGGGGUUUCAUUUUCUUUAUUAUUUUAAGAUAUUUUAGGUUUAAUUACUUUUACUUGUUUUAUUUUUCUUUUUUGGUUUUUGCAUCAUAAAUAUUAAGUUGCAAUUAUGAAUAAAAUUAAACAAACUUGCAACUUAUUUCUAAAUUCACGAAAAAAUAAAAAGUGUGGUAAUGUGAAUGUGCAUGCCUGGGAUUGAUUCUGGUUAGGAAAGACUUGGUUUUUAAGCGGUCGAAAUUGACUCACCUCCAUUCCUUGGGACCCUACCCGAUGCACAUUUCAAAUUCACUUUUUUGAUUUUGCCCAUUCUGUUUUGUGUUGUAAACAAUGAGGACAUUGUUACUCUUUAGUGGGGGACUAGAAAUUACAAUUUUUAGCAAUUUUUGACUAAAAUUAUUAUUUUUCCAUUAAGUUAUAGUAAAAUAUUGCUCAGAAUUUUAAUUUUUGUUUAAUUUUGUUAGCUUUAGUAUGUAUUAAAUUAUGUUAUACUUUUAUGCUAGCUUAAUUAUGGCAAAAAUGCUGAACUUAGUAAUUGUCUAUAAGUCAAACCAUGAAAUUUUUUAAUUCCUUAGAAAAACUAAGCAUACAUGAAAGUUUAAGCCUUUAGAAUUGACUUAGUAAUUCCCUUGAUACGAAAUCCUAGGAGGCAUGGUAAUUUGAAAAUGAUUUAGGCAAAUUUUUGUUGGACUAUUUGAGCUUUUCAAGCCAACCUUAGUAAAUAGUUAUCGCUUGAAACCCUACUUUGAGCUAUAUGGCUUGAUGUUUUUUCAGAACUUUUCAUUAAUAAGUCAUACCUUCCUUAAUAUUUAUCUCUACUUGUCCCAAAUCUUAGACUCAGGUCAUCUAGAAUAUUUUUUGUGAUUAAGUUUGGGGGAGUUACAGAGAAGUACUAGAAUG